RNAcentral lists this ribosomal RNA (1526 nucleotides) under Bifidobacteriaceae bacterium MCC02035. Its description in RNAcentral is "bacterial SSU rRNA". It matches the Rfam family "Bacterial small subunit ribosomal RNA". The record is from RNAcentral. Lineage: Bacteria; Bacillati; Actinomycetota; Actinomycetes; Bifidobacteriales; Bifidobacteriaceae.
UGUGGAGGGUUCGAUUCUGGCUCAGGAUGAACGCUGGCGGCGUGCUUAACACAUGCAAGUCGAACGGGAUCCAUCAGGCUUUGCUUGGUGGUGAGAGUGGCGAACGGGUGAGUAAUGCGUGACCGACCUGCCCCAUACACCGGAAUAGCUCCUGGAAACGGGUGGUAAUGCCGGAUGCUCCGACUCCUCGCAUGGGGUGUCGGGAAAGAUUUCAUCGGUAUGGGAUGGGGUCGCGUCCUAUCAGGUAGUCGGCGGGGUAACGGCCCACCGAGCCUACGACGGGUAGCCGGCCUGAGAGGGCGACCGGCCACAUUGGGACUGAGAUACGGCCCAGACUCCUACGGGAGGCAGCAGUGGGGAAUAUUGCACAAUGGGCGCAAGCCUGAUGCAGCGACGCCGCGUGCGGGAUGACGGCCUUCGGGUUGUAAACCGCUUUUGAUCGGGAGCAAGCCUUCGGGUGAGUGUACCUUUCGAAUAAGCACCGGCUAACUACGUGCCAGCAGCCGCGGUAAUACGUAGGGUGCAAGCGUUAUCCGGAAUUAUUGGGCGUAAAGGGCUCGUAGGCGGUUCGUCGCGUCCGGUGUGAAAGUCCAUCGCUUAACGGUGGAUCUGCGCCGGGUACGGGCGGGCUGGAGUGCGGUAGGGGAGACUGGAAUUCCCGGUGUAACGGUGGAAUGUGUAGAUAUCGGGAAGAACACCAAUGGCGAAGGCAGGUCUCUGGGCCGUUACUGACGCUGAGGAGCGAAAGCGUGGGGAGCGAACAGGAUUAGAUACCCUGGUAGUCCACGCCGUAAACGGUGGAUGCUGGAUGUGGGGCCCGUUCCACGGGUUCCGUGUCGGAGCUAACGCGUUAAGCAUCCCGCCUGGGGAGUACGGCCGCAAGGCUAAAACUCAAAGAAAUUGACGGGGGCCCGCACAAGCGGCGGAGCAUGCGGAUUAAUUCGAUGCAACGCGAAGAACCUUACCUGGGCUUGACAUGUUCCCGACAGCCGUAGAGAUAUGGCCUCCCUUCGGGGCGGGUUCACAGGUGGUGCAUGGUCGUCGUCAGCUCGUGUCGUGAGAUGUUGGGUUAAGUCCCGCAACGAGCGCAACCCUCGCCCUGUGUUGCCAGCACGUCAUGGUGGGAACUCACGGGGGACCGCCGGGGUCAACUCGGAGGAAGGUGGGGAUGACGUCAGAUCAUCAUGCCCCUUACGUCCAGGGCUUCACGCAUGCUACAAUGGCCGGUACAACGGGAUGCGACACGGCGACGUGGAGCGGAUCCCUGAAAACCGGUCUCAGUUCGGAUUGGAGUCUGCAACCCGACUCCAUGAAGGCGGAGUCGCUAGUAAUCGCGGAUCAGCAACGCCGCGGUGAAUGCGUUCCCGGGCCUUGUACACACCGCCCGUCAAGUCAUGAAAGUGGGUAGCACCCGAAGCCGGUGGCCUAACCCUUUGUGGAUGGAGCCGUCUAAGGUGAGACUCGUGAUUGGGACUAAGUCGUAACAAGGUAGCCGUACCGGAAGGUGCGGCUGGAUCACCUCCUUU